GACGAACGCUGGCGGCGUGCCUAACACAUGCAAGUCGAACGGAGAUACGAUUUCGGUUGUAUCUUAGUGGCGAACGAGUGAGUAACGCGUGAGCAACCUGACUCUUAGAGGGGGAUAACACCCGGAAACGAGUGCUAAUACCGCAUAAGACCACGACAUGGCAUCAUGACGAGGUCAAAGGAGCAAUCCGCUGAGAGAGGGGCUCGCGUCCCAUUAGAUAGAUGGCGGGGUAACGGCCCACCAUGUCAACGAUGGGUAGCCGAGCUGAGAGGCUGAGCGGCCACACUGGAACUGAGACACGGUCCGGACUCCUACGGGAGGCAGCAGUGGGGAAUAUUGGGCAAUGGGCGCAAGCCUGACCCAGCAACGCCGCGUGAGGGAAGAGGGCUUUCGGGUUGUAACCUCUGUCCUUGGUGACGAAACAAAUGACGGUAGCCAAGGAGGAGGCCCCGGCUAACUACGUGCCAGCCGCCGCCGUAA
This 480-nucleotide ribosomal RNA is filed under the name uncultured bacterium. RNAcentral's name for it is "partial 16S ribosomal RNA". It matches the Rfam family "Bacterial small subunit ribosomal RNA", at positions 28 to 523 of the family's 1533-position model. The record is from RNAcentral.